GUAUCUAUCGUUUGCGUUGCGCGGGAAAUUGUGGCGGGAACGAUUGGCGGUUGCUCUCCUCAGGCGCCGAAGCCCCGAGUCAACCGAGCCCCGCUGGCCCUGCUGCCCGCGGAGAUGGCGAGCUGGGUGAGGGAGUGCGGGGCCGAGAGCUGCUCCCAGGCGGUGGCCCUGGCCGAAGGCUUCCUGCUCAGCCAAGCCCAGAGGGAAGGGCCGCCAAAGGGGCAGCAGGUGCAGGAACUGUUCAUGGGGGAGAUCUCCACAGAGGUCCAGGAAAGAGGAGAUCCAUCCAGCCCUUCUGAGGAGCUGCUUUUCAGCGGGAUCCAACUUGAGCCUCUUUGCCAGGUAGGUGCAGAUUUCUUCUGAGAAUAGUGAAGUACAAACUCCAUCCGUUCAUGGAGCUUUUACCAUCAAAUGCUGAAUCUGUGUCCAUUUGAACCCAGUUCUCCCCCCCCCCAAUGUCCUGCUGAAUCACACUCAGCGUUCAAGAUUGUUCUUGAGUUGCAAACAAGAGAAAAUUUCUAGGCUUCAUUGUAUUAGACAAUUAGAAAAUUAGACAUUAUUAGAAAAUUUGUUUGGUGGAAAGAGUUUAAUACUUAAUAUUUUUCAGAAGAGUCCUGAAAACUAGUUAGAAAUGAAUCCCAUGAAUUCAAACAAUAGGAUUUUCUUUUAGGUGUUUUUGCUUUAAUUUUUUCUUUCAUGUUUUACUUGUUACUAGAUUUUGACUUCAUCGCCCUUGUCUCUCUUUGUUCCAUUGGAUCUUUAGAUUGUGCUCCUUCUUUUAGGGCUCUUCUUUCCACUAUUUUUUCAACUUUAUCUUUCUCUAUCUUUUUGCUUUGUCUUUCCUAUUGAUUCCAAAUCAUCUUCUAGUGGUCCACAAAAUUGUUGAUUAAAUAGUUUUGCUUUUUCAAUGGAGUCAAGUCUAUGUCUUUGUUCUUGCCAUGUCACCAAAAUUCCUUCCGCUUUUAACCAUCUAAAUUUCACUCCUUUGAAUAUUAGGAACUUGGUUAGAAACUGAUAUUCUCUCCUCAAUUCUCUAACUCUUCUAGGUAUUUAUCUUAAUACCGCAAUUUCAUCUUUGUGUUUCUGUGCUAUAUUUCUUGCAGCUUGUAAUAUCUGUUUCACUGCCUUCUUCGUAAAUCUUACAUGUACUUCUCUCGGUAGUUUGUUCCUCAUUGCAUAUCUUGUGUAUACUCUGAAGGUGUGGGAAUGCGGUGGCCAUAGUACAUGUAUAGACCAGUUUAACUGGUUGGACACUUGUAUGGAGCUUAGCAUCGAAAUAAUCUGACUAUGAAAAGCGGGUUCAUAUGGAUACUCUCUGAAGGGCCCUAUUCAUUCUCUCUUUGUUCUUAACAUAGACUGUAUUAGCAAAGCCAGAGAUAUCCCUUCCUGCUACAUUCCUGAGGGUUGAGGUAAUCUCUGAUAACGGGGAGACGAAGAGAUGGGUCUCUCGCCUGGUAGUAACUGGUACCAAAUAGCCAGAGUUGAGUUUCGCUUUUGCAUCUUUAGUAUCGCUUUCCUAUCUCUUGUAUGUAAUAUGAGAUGUGUAACCAUAAUAACGCCUUCUGAUGACGCUGUAUUUGGAUAACUAAUAAAAGAGAUUGUAGCCUUUUGUUUGCUGCUCUCUCAUCCCGAGAAAACGCUUGUCCUGUGUUUUCCUAAACUGAAACUCUCAUGAGAAGCCCGCCAGAAUGAAUUCAACAUCUGGUGACCCCGACGUGAUAACUCUGCUUGUAGCUAUAUGUCUCUUGGUAAUUUCAUACUCAUUCGGCUGGAAGAAGCCUCUGCAAACCAGGGCCGGUCGUCUGCGGACGAAGCACCCUCCCAUAAAUCGUGAGUAUGGAGGCAGAAUUGCCAGGUACCCCGACAUGAUAGCCCUUGAGGCUAUACGUCUCUUGGAACCCCUGUUCUCACCGCCUGGAAGAGGCUGUGCACCACGAUUUUGCCUGAAACACGGCGACAAUCUUUCGUGAGUAUAGGGGGAGGUCUUUCCAAGCAGCAGACGCAGUAUCUGAAGAGCUUGGUGAGAUAUCCAAGACUAAUAUUAUUGUUUUUAAAAAAGAUAACGGGAAAGUCCUGCCCGUGAUAAAAAAGAAUUUGAUCUACCUUCUAAAAUACUUUUGGCAAUAAAAGGGCUCUUUAAAAGUGAAUAUGUGGAAGCAGAUGGGAACAUGCCUCCACAAACCUCCCCAGCCCUGAAAAAUUUUUUGCACUCUGGAGAUUAGUUAUAGAGUGUUUAAUGAUACAAAAAAAAAAAAAAAGCCUUCAGGACACUGUUAAUAGUUCCUUUUCAGACUUUGUUGAGAGAUUGCUCUCACGUUAAAUCACCCACACAGAUGCACGGCAUGAAAUUAAACAGCUCAUUCUGAAGGAGUCAGUUACACCCCCACUAAGCAGAAUUUAAAGAAACAGUUAGACAAAAAAAAGGGGGAUGGAUAGAAUAAAUUGCUGAAAUGCUUUCAGUGUGUCUGCCGGCUGCAAUUUUGCAAGCUUCUUCUGAAUGUGCUUAACAAGCCUUCAGAAAAAUGCUUGUUUCUGGCAAGCGUCAACAAGCCUUCUCUAACAUAAAGAAAGAAAGCUAAAAAACAACACCACUUAAAAGCUAUUGUUGGGCUGGAAAAAAAUCUUAAUUUGGCAGAUAUGAUUAAAGUGUGUCAGGAUCAUCGUAUAGAUGACAUUUUAAUUGGAGCACAAAAAAUACAACCUAAUUGGCUUUUUGAAAAUACAAAAUGAUUUAUGUGUAAAUGAAUUGCACAUUGCCCCAGAGAAAAUACAGCUCCUUAUCUGUAUGUGCAAUCUCUUUCUGCUCCGGCCUUUAAAGUUACCCAAAGUUAAAUUUGCAACAAUUACUGGGUACUAUUAAUUGGGACUGCUCAUAUUUUUCUUUACCUAUGCAUUUACUUAGUCCAUUAUUUGAGUUAUUGACUAAAAGAAAAAGCCAGGAGAUUUAAUUCUGUUUUAGAACAGCAAAAAGUACAUUGCUUUAUUUGUCUCAUUACCAUCUAAAAAUGUUUUACCCUUUAUUUAAGCUAUUGCUGAAAUUAUAACCUUGGGACGUAAUCCAGACUGUCGAAGAAAUGGAACUGAUCUAAUAAAUAUUAUUCUUUCUAUCUCAAAAUCUGACUUUUACUUUUGUCUUCGGAAUGAUUCAUCUCUUCAGUGUGCUCUAACUGACUAUGUAAGCUGUAUUUCAUAUUAUUUGCCUAAAGAUCCUAGGUUUACUUGCUUAAUGAUUUUCUCCAGAGGAGCCACUGCUUACAAGGACAUCUGGAAAGAAUCUUACACUAAUUGUCUGCGACUAUCUUAGCUUUCACACUUUUUCUCAACAAGCUUUUAAUUUGAUCUCUGACUCUCAGUAUGUUUCUCAGGCUGAAAAAAUAAAUAAAUAAAUAAAUAAAUAAAUAAAUAAAUUGUUUAUUGUUCUUCCCACCCGGGGUUUAGCAGGAAAUAAAAUUAGAGCCUGUCUAAAUGGGAAGACUCAGAUAAUUUGAACUAAUCAACUUGAAGUGAUUUCUGUUAAAAAUAUUUUGUUGAUGUACAUCUAUAAUGAUAGUGUGUGGAAUUGAUAUGCUUGGCUGGCCAGCAAAAAUUAACUGGGUUUGAACUUGAAACUGUGGGAAACCGGGCAGUGGUUAUGGGCCCAUGUCACCUUUUGUGAUUAUGACUCCUGCCUAUGUUUUGCACUGUUUUGGGAAUAAACUAGUUCAUUGAAAUAAUUUGAAUGACUGAUUCGCAUGAAGGAUGUAUUAUACAAAAGGUCUGAUCGCAGUACAGAUGUGAAUGGGUGUGUAUUGGAUUGCAUGAAAUGUAAUUUUGUGUAUAAGCACCUUUUUUCUUUUCUCUCCCUGCCCACCGAGGAGAAGGGAGGCUUGGUCUGUUUUAAAAAUUUUUUCCUUUCCCUCACCCCCUCCCUUUUUUUCCCUGGGAGAUGAGAGGCACGAAAGAGGGGGGGGGUUACUUUGUACUUUUAACCAUUUUUUUUCUCUCAGAGAACCAGCCAGAGAAAGGCGGGAGUGAAAGGGUGAUAUCUGAUACCUGCCUUUGCAGAGCACUGAACGGCUCAGAAUGCAAUUUUGAUUUUUUUCCUUCUGAACAUUUUUGACGUUUCAAAUACUUUCAUACCCAAUUCUAUUUCAGAGUAUUGACUCAAAAUACUCCUUAAUGUUUUUAUGUCUACGUGCAUUUUGCAUACUUAACAGAUGGCAUGUUUGUUCUUUGCUUGUCUGUUGUUUGUUUGUUUAUUUGUUUGUUUCUUUGUCAGCAGCAUAAACUGCUGCCAUUUUUAGGAAUUAUCACAGAGAUGAGUUAGAAAUUACAAUAUGUAGACAGAGAGAUAAAAUACAUAGGACAUUUAAUUAAUGAAAGAAAAUAACACCUGAAGAGUUGAGGAAAUUUUUAGGAUUGACUGGAUAUUGUAGGCUGUGAAUAGAUAAUUGUGCUAUUUUGAAUAAAGACUGGUAUGUAAAGAAUCCAGUGUUACAGGGAAUGUAAGAGAGAGUUAGUGAAGGAAAGCAGAAAGUUGACUUUUGGAAGUAUGCUUGUUUACAAGGAGAUUUAAAAGGACGAUCAGAUAUUGGUGCAGAGAAGGAGUAAAAGUUGGCUUGCACAGAUUUGGGCUGACUUGGAAGUCAGAAUGGCAGUAGGAGAAAGGACUUGAAUGUUUAGUGUUAUAAGGAGAUUUGUUUACUGGAAGGUUAUAGAUGUUGUGGGUAGCGGAGACAGAGAUUGGAAGAGGGAAAUGACAAAGCUGCAACUGCGCUUAUGGUUAUAUCUUCCAUCACACCAUGGGACAGUCAUGCCUAUUUUCAUCAAAAUAAAAAGCAUUAGCGAAACAAUUUGGUCUCACGGCAGCUGAAGCGACUGCCAUCAUACAACAAUGUCCUACCUGUAGUCAACAAGCUCAUUCUAUCCCUAUGGGUGUAACCCUAGAGGACUAAAAGCUUGUGAAAUUUGGCAAAUGGAUGUAACUCAGUACCCAUCCUUUGCCCCAUGGAAAUAUUUGCAUGUUUCCGUGGACAUUUAUUCAGGAUUUAUCAUGGCAUCUCCACAAAGGGGAGAAGCAACCAAACAUGUAAUAAAUCAUUGUAUUCGGAUUUCUGCAUCGAUGGGACGCCCAAUUGAAAUUAAAACUGACAAUGGAUCUACUACACCAGUACUGCCUUUGCAGACUUUUGUAACAAGUGGUCCAUCACACACAAAUUUGGCUUAUAAAAUUGAAAGAGGAAAAAUGCCUCGGCCUCCCAGCCAUGCAAAACAAACUCAAUCUUUGCUUAUAUACUUUGAACUUCCUUAACCUGACUGGACAGCCUCCCACAUCGGCUGCGACCCGUCAUUUUUCUGCUUAUCCAUCAGCUGCCCUAAAACCGAAGGUCUAUUUCCACCAACUACCUGAUCCUGCAUGGAGAGGGCCUGCUGACCUUAUUACCUGGGGCCAUGGAUAUGCUGCUGUCCAGGACAAUGAUCGCAUCAUUUGGAUCCCCAAAAGACACGUAAGACCAUUUCAUUUACAACAAAAAGAAGGAGAAACCCCUGGUGCUGAGAUGGCAACAGACUCUUAACGCAAGGUGGUGACCAUCAGCUUUGCAGGACUACACCGGAAGCUAGUCCCCUGAGCACAGCGGAAGAUUUCAUCAGGAGAAAACUACCUUCACAUUGUACAUAUACAUUUUAUUAGCUUUAAUAUAACACUUUCUUACACAUACUAAUGUUAGUAGAAUUGUUUUUCUAAUUUUGCUAGUAAUUUUGUUUCACGCGUAUAAGUGACUAUGAUUUGUUUAUGGCCUUGGACAUUGUUAGCUUGGGGACUCUCAAGUGACCAUGUAAGAACGCUCCUGCCACAAACGCAUUGUCUAUGUACAAGGUCCUUACUUUCUACCUAAAUCUACUCCACCACCUAAGGUUCCCAUAUUGACAUUUCCAGCUGAGGGGGGAGUGAAUAAGAACAAUGGGCCUCUGUAACAAUUGCAUAAAAGAGACUAUAUAUCAUGGAUUCUGGAAUUAAGUCACGAUCUUGCAUCUAUUGCCCCUACAUCUCAUGAUCCUUCAUGUCAGCAGCCUCUACAUUCAAUCAUGAUGGGACAGUAAUAAAAGACAUUCAAAUAGCUGCUAAUCAGACAAACUCCACUACUCCUAUUUCUCAAACCACACCCACCACUGACAUUGGGUGGCUCAUUAAAAACUCAGAUAUCCAGAGGCAUCUUGCCCAAUCUCGGGUGGCAAUGAACUAUCGGGAUCUUCAUUUAUUAAAUAACUGGACAGUACAUAUGUUCAACGAGACUAUCAAGGUGCUGAAGCUGAUGAACAAAGAACUGGUUGAAAUCAGGGAGGUGGUCUUACAAAACCGAUAUGCCUUAGAUAUUGUGCUGGUAGUUAAAGGAGGCGAUUGUGCCCUCAUGCAUUCACAUUGUUGUACCUAUGUAUCUGAUUAUCAGUAUAACAUCACUCACACCAUAGAACAUAUGGAAAACUAGAUCAAAAACAAUCCCUUAUCAUCCAAUGGAUCUGGCGCCAUUGACAUCUGGGCUGCUCUUUGGUCAUGGCUCCCGGAUGGUUCUUGGUUGAAAUCAAUUAUGCCAAUUAUUGUAUCUAUAAUUGUACUGCUUGUUUUGCUUUGUUGCUGUAUCCUAUGUCUCCCCUCCCUUCUGCAAAUGUGCAAAGGUUUUAUUCCCUCCAAUAGGAACGACGUCCUGAAAAGUGAAACCAAAGCCCUUCUGGAACUGGAGGAACAAAUCAGGUGUGGUCAGAGAAGGUGCUCGGGACUUGCAAGAUAGGGCUUCCAAGAUAACUCAGAGGUUACAAACUCCUGACAUGUGGUUUUCUUGGGUGCCUGAAACCGGAUGGAUUUACAAUUUGUAUGAGCGAUUUGUGGAAAUGUAUAACUGGAAUACAACUCAGAAACUUGAUGGCCUACCUCGCUUGACAUCUCCUGGCCACUUUUCCACUAACUUUGUUCACCUUAAUAAAAGGAUGGGUGACCUAAAAACAUUUGCAGAAACCAGAUGGCUGAAGAACAUAUUGUCUACUGUACUCAUGAUCAUUGCUUUGCUUAUUUCUGUAUGUUGUAGUAUCCAAUGUAUUCCUGCUUUGUUUGCUAUGAUGAUAGGUAUGUUUUCCAGGCAUAAAGAGAACAUCAUAAUAACAACACAACUGAACCCUGUUGCAAAAAACAAAAACAGAGGAAAUGUGGGAAUGCGGUGGCCAUAGUACAUGUAUAGACCAGUUUAACUGGUUGGACACUUGUAUGGAGCUUAGCAUCGAAAUAAUCUGACUAUGAAAAGCAGGUUCAUAUGGAUACUCUCUGAAGGGCCCUAUUUUGUUCUCUCUUUGUUCUUAACAUAGACUGUAUUAGCAAAGCCAGAGAUAUCCCUUCCUGCUACAUUCCUGAGGGUUGAGGUAAUCUCUGAUAACGGGGAGACGAAGAGAUGGGCCUCUCGCCUGGUAGUAACUGGUACCAAAUAGCCAGAGUUGAGUUUCGCUUUUGCAUCUUUAGUAUCGCUUUCCUAUCUCUUGUAUGUAAUAUGAGAUGUGUAGCCAUAAUAACGCCUUCUGAUGACGCUGUAUUUGGAUAACUAAUAAAAGAGAUUGUAGCCUUUUGUUUGCUGCUCUCUCAUCCCGAGAAAA
Molecule: non-coding RNA, 7617 nt
Organism: Pantherophis guttatus
Lineage: Eukaryota; Metazoa; Chordata; Lepidosauria; Squamata; Colubridae
Source: RefSeq, a predicted model, not a curated record